Molecule: ribosomal RNA, 251 nt
Filed under: uncultured prokaryote
Description: partial 16S rRNA
Rfam family: Bacterial small subunit ribosomal RNA
Source: RNAcentral
GCGUAGGGGGCGAGCGUUAUUCGGAAAUACUGGGUGAAAAGGGGAAGAAGGCGGCCCUUCAAGUCGCGUGUCAAAGUCCAGUGCUCAACGCUGGGGGUGCGCGCGAUACUGACGGGCUUGAGGGCUGGAGAGGUGAGCGGAAUUCCCGGUGUAGUGGUAAAAUACGUAGAGAUCGGGAGGAACACCAGCGGCGAAGGCGGCUCACUAGACAGUUUCCGACGCUAAGAUACGAAAGCGUGGGGAGCAAACAG